Molecule: non-coding RNA, 515 nt
Organism: Taeniopygia guttata (zebra finch)
Lineage: Eukaryota; Metazoa; Chordata; Aves; Passeriformes; Estrildidae
Source: RefSeq, a predicted model, not a curated record
ACCUAAAUUAAGCUGCGGGCAAAGGAGAGCCGGUUAAAAGGAGAACCGGUUACCCCUGUAAUCUUUGUGCACGAAGAUCCGAGCGAAGACGCAGGACGCAAACUGCUAUCAGAACAGCUGAGAAGGGGUGGACUCAUGCGAGCCACGUCAAAGGUCCAGUCACCACAGACGACCACUGGAAAGUGACCAGCCAGCCUGGGGACUUGAAGGUUACCAUUAAGAGAAACUGAUGAACUCUGUAUACAUCAUUCAAGUCCGUCACAAAGGGGAGCAAGAGGGAUAUAAUUACCUGCUUGUUAGUGAUUAUUUGAUAAUUUGUAAUAAGGUAAACUGUGAUUGUUAUCCUUUUGUAUGCUUUGCAUGUAAAGUUUGCCAAGAACAGUGGGGAGUCCAGUGCCGAAGGGGGAGGCUGCCCACUGGGGUUUGUACAGAAUGUUACACGACUGAACGAGAAUUAACCAAAGCUGUGUUGAAAUUAGGGGAGUGGGAAAUCAGUGGAUUCCCUUUGAAUCUGA